RNAcentral lists this microRNA precursor (108 nucleotides) under Marmota monax (woodchuck). The record is from RNAcentral. Lineage: Eukaryota; Metazoa; Chordata; Mammalia; Rodentia; Sciuridae.
AGUGGGAUAGCUGGGUCAGAUGGAAACUUGGUUUCAUUCCAAGUUUUUUGAGGAAUCUCCAUAUUGCUUUCCAUAGUAGUUGUACCAAUUUGUAGUCCCACUGGCAAU